RNAcentral lists this long non-coding RNA (339 nucleotides) under Physcomitrium patens. RNAcentral's name for it is "long non-coding RNA (PPAT_LNC006696)". The record is from RNAcentral. Lineage: Eukaryota; Viridiplantae; Streptophyta; Bryopsida; Funariales; Funariaceae.
UUAGGAUUUGGUUAGGAUUUGAUUUAGGAUUUGGUUUAGGGUUUAAGGUUUGGAUUAGGAUUUGGUUAGGAUUUAGUUAGGAUUUCAUUUAGGAUUUAGGAUUUGAUUAGGAUUUUAUUUAGGAUUUAGGAUUUCUUUAAGAUUUGUUAUUAUUUCUUUGAAUUUGAUUAAGCUUGUUUAGUAUUAUUGUGGUCCAAUUAGAGCAUUAUUAGUAUUCUAUUAGAAUUAGGAUUUUUUUAUUACAAUUUCCAUUCUUCCUACCACAGCCAGGUGCCAGGAGCAUUCUGAAGCAAGACUUUACGUAUUACAACACCGUAGUAUUUACCAUCACCACAAGAG